UACGAAGGGGGCGAGCGUUGUUCGGAAUUACUGGGCGUAAAGGGCGCGCAGGCGGCUCUGAAAGUCAGAUGUGAAAGCCCCGGGCUCAACCUGGGAAUUGCAUUCGAGACUGCAUGGCUAGGGUGCGGAAGAGGGAAGCGGAAUUUCCGGUGUAGCGGUGAAAUGCGUAGAUAUCGGAAGGAACACCAGUGGCGAAAGCGGCUUCCUGGUCCAGCACCGACGUUCAGGCACGAAAGCGUGGGGAGCAAACAGG
RNAcentral lists this ribosomal RNA (253 nucleotides) under uncultured bacterium. Its description in RNAcentral is "partial 16S ribosomal RNA". It matches the Rfam family "Bacterial small subunit ribosomal RNA", at positions 524 to 776 of the family's 1533-position model. The record is from RNAcentral.